AGAGUUCGAUCCUGGCUCAGGACGAACGCUGGCGGCGUGCCUAAUACAUGCAAGUCGAGCGGACAGAUGGGAGCUUGCUCCCUGAUGUUAGCGGCGGACGGGUGAGUAACACGUGGGUAACCUGCCUGUAAGACUGGGAUAACUCCGGGAAACCGGGGCUAAUACCGGAUGGUUGUUUGAACCGCAUGGUUCAAACAUAAAAGGUGGCUUCGGCUACCACUUACAGAUGGACCCGCGGCGCAUUAGCUAGUUGGUGAGGUAACGGCUCACCAAGGCGACGAUGCGUAGCCGACCUGAGAGGGUGAUCGGCCACACUGGGACUGAGACACGGCCCAGACUCCUACGGGAGGCAGCAGUAGGGAAUCUUCCGCAAUGGACGAAAGUCUGACGGAGCAACGCCGCGUGAGUGAUGAAGGUUUUCGGAUCGUAAAGCUCUGUUGUUAGGGAAGAACAAGUACCGUUCGAAUAGGGCGGUACCUUGACGGUACCUAACCAGAAAGCCACGGCUAACUACGUGCCAGCAGCCGCGGUAAUACGUAGGUGGCAAGCGUUGUCCGGAAUUAUUGGGCGUAAAGGGCUCGCAGGCGGUUUCUUAAGUCUGAUGUGAAAGCCCCCGGCUCAACCGGGGAGGGUCAUUGGAAACUGGGGAACUUGAGUGCAGAAGAGGAGAGUGGAAUUCCACGUGUAGCGGUGAAAUGCGUAGAGAUGUGGAGGAACACCAGUGGCGAAGGCGACUCUCUGGUCUGUAACUGACGCUGAGGAGCGAAAGCGUGGGGAGCGAACAGGAUUAGAUACCCUGGUAGUCCACGCCGUAAACGAUGAGUGCUAAGUGUUAGGGGGUUUCCGCCCCUUAGUGCUGCAGCUAACGCAUUAAGCACUCCGCCUGGGGAGUACGGUCGCAAGACUGAAACUCAAAGGAAUUGACGGGGGCCCGCACAAGCGGUGGAGCAUGUGGUUUAAUUCGAAGCAACGCGAAGAACCUUACCAGGUCUUGACAUCCUCUGACAAUCCUAGAGAUAGGACGUCCCCUUCGGGGGCAGAGUGACAGGUGGUGCAUGGUUGUCGUCAGCUCGUGUCGUGAGAUGUUGGGCUAAGUCCCGCAACGAGCGCAACCCUUGAUCUUAGUUGCCAGCAUUCAGUUGGGCACUCUAAGGUGACUGCCGGUGACAAACCGGAGGAAGGUGGGGAUGACGUCAAAUCAUCAUGCCCCUUAUGACCUGGGCUACACACGUGCUACAAUGGACAGAACAAAGGGCAGCGAAACCGCGAGGUUAAGCCAAUCCCACA
RNAcentral lists this ribosomal RNA (1287 nucleotides) under metagenome. RNAcentral's name for it is "bacterial SSU rRNA". It matches the Rfam family "Bacterial small subunit ribosomal RNA", at positions 8 to 1278 of the family's 1533-position model. The record is from RNAcentral.